GAUGAACGCUAGCGACAGGCCUAACACAUGCAAGUCGAGGGGCAGCGAGGAUGUAGCAAUACAUUUGUCGGCGACCGGCGCACGGGUGAGUAACGCGUAUGCAACCUACCCGACACAGGGGGAUAACCCGGAGAAAUUCGGACUAAUACCGCAUAAAACAGGGGUCCCGCAUGGGAAUAUUUGUUAAAGAAUUAUCGGUGUCGGAUGGGCAUGCGUUCCAUUAGCUAGUUGGUGAGGUAACGGCUCACCAAGGCCACGAUGGAUAGGGGUUCUGAGAGGAUGAACGGCCACAUUGGGACUGAGAUACGGCCCAGACUCCUACGGAGGCAGCAGUGGGGAAUAUUGGGCAAUGGGGGAAACCCUGACCCAGCAACGCCGCGUGAAGGAAGAAGGCCUUCGGUUGGUAAC
RNAcentral lists this ribosomal RNA (408 nucleotides) under uncultured bacterium. Its description in RNAcentral is "bacterial SSU rRNA". It matches the Rfam family "Bacterial small subunit ribosomal RNA", at positions 28 to 430 of the family's 1533-position model. The record is from RNAcentral.